Molecule: ribosomal RNA, 534 nt
Filed under: Bifidobacterium pseudocatenulatum
Lineage: Bacteria; Bacillati; Actinomycetota; Actinomycetes; Bifidobacteriales; Bifidobacteriaceae
Description: bacterial SSU rRNA
Rfam family: Bacterial small subunit ribosomal RNA
Source: RNAcentral
GGUAAUGCCGGAUGCUCCGACUCCUCGCAUGGGGUGUCGGGAAAGAUUUCAUCGGUAUGGGAUGGGGUCGCGUCCUAUCAGGUAGUCGGCGGGGUAACGGCCCACCGAGCCUACGACGGGUAGCCGGCCUGAGAGGGCGACCGGCCACAUUGGGACUGAGAUACGGCCCAGACUCCUACGGGAGGCAGCAGUGGGGAAUAUUGCACAAUGGGCGCAAGCCUGAUGCAGCGACGCCGCGUGCGGGAUGACGGCCUUCGGGUUGUAAACCGCUUUUGAUCGGGAGCAAGCCUUCGGGUGAGUGUACCUUUCGAAUAAGCACCGGCUAACUACGUGCCAGCAGCCGCGGUAAUACGUAGGGUGCAAGCGUUAUCCGGAAUUAUUGGGCGUAAAGGGCUCGUAGGCGGUUCGUCGCGUCCGGUGUGAAAGUCCAUCGCUUAACGGUGGAUCUGCGCCGGGUACGGGCGGGCUGGAGUGCGGUAGGGGAGACUGGAAUUCCCGGUGUAACGGUGGAAUGUGUAGAUAUCGAAAAAAAAA